CUCGAUGGUGGCUGUGCGCAGGGCGUCCUCGGACGCGCCGGUUUCUUGUUUCCCCGGUCGACUAACCUGCGUACAGCUGCCUCCCAU
Non-coding RNA from Pseudomonas fluorescens, 87 nucleotides. The record is from Rfam. Lineage: Bacteria; Pseudomonadati; Pseudomonadota; Gammaproteobacteria; Pseudomonadales; Pseudomonadaceae.